UACGUAGGGGGCAAGCGUUGUCCGGAAUUAUUGGGCGUAAAGAGCGCGUAGGCGGUCCAGUAAGUCGGUUGUGAAAGUCGGGGGCUCAACCCUCGGAUGCCGAUCGAUACUGCUGGGCUAGAGUCCGGAAGAGGCGAGUGGAAUUCCUGGUGUAGCGGUGAAAUGCGCAGAUAUCAGGAGGAACACCAAUGGCGAAGGCAGGUGGCUGGGCCGACACUGACGCUGAGGCGCGAAAGCCAGGGGAGCGAACGGG
This 253-nucleotide ribosomal RNA is filed under the name uncultured bacterium. Its description in RNAcentral is "partial 16S ribosomal RNA". It matches the Rfam family "Bacterial small subunit ribosomal RNA", at positions 524 to 776 of the family's 1533-position model. The record is from RNAcentral.